This 661-nucleotide unclassified non-coding RNA is filed under the name uncultured fungus. Its description in RNAcentral is "partial contains 18S rRNA, ITS1, 5.8S rRNA, ITS2 and 28S rRNA". The record is from RNAcentral. Lineage: Eukaryota; Fungi.
AGUCCUACCUGAUUCGAGGUCAACGUUCAGAAGUUGGGUGUUUUACGGCGUGGCCACGUCGGGGUUCCGGUGCGAGUUGGUUUACUACGCAGAGGUCGCCGCGGACGGGCCGCCACUCCAUUUCAGGGCCGGCGGUGUGCUGCCGGUCCCCAACGCCGACUUCCCCAAAGGGAGGUCGAGGGUUGAAAUGACGCUCGAACAGGCAUGCCCGCCAGAAUGCUGGCGGGCGCAAUGUGCGUUCAAAGAUUCGAUGAUUCACUGGAUUCUGCAAUUCACAUUACUUAUCGCAUUUCGCUGCGUUCUUCAUCGAUGCCAGAGCCAAGAGAUCCGUUGUUGAAAGUUUUAAUUUAUUUGUUUUGCCUUGCGGCGUAUUCAGAAGAUGCUGAUAAUACAAGAGUUUGAUGGUCCCCGGCGGCCGCUGGUCCAGUCCGCGUCCGGCUGGGGCGAGUCCGCCGAAGCAACGAUAGGUAGGUUCACAUAAGGGUUUGGGAGUUGAAAACUCGGUAAUGAUCCCUCCGCUGGUUCACCAACGGAGACCUUGUUACGACUUUUACUUCCUCUAAAUGACCGAGUUUGGAGAGCUUUCCGGCCCUGGGGGGUAGUUGCCCACCUCCCUGGGCCAGUCCGGACGCCUCACUGAGCCAUUCAAUCGGUAGUAGCG